UACGAAGGGGGCUAGCGUUGUUCGGAUUUACUGGGCGUAAAGCGCACGUAGGCGGAUUGGUCAGUUAGGGGUGAAAUCCUGGAGCUCAACUCCAGAACUGCCUUUAAUACUGCCAAUCUCGAGUCCGGAAGAGGUAAGUGGAACUCCUGGUGUAGAGGUGGAAUUCGUAGAUAUUAGGAAGAACACCAGUGGCGAAGGCGGCUUACUGGUCCGGUACUGACGCUGAGGUGCGAAAGCGUGGGGAGCAAACAGG
RNAcentral lists this ribosomal RNA (253 nucleotides) under uncultured bacterium. Its description in RNAcentral is "partial 16S ribosomal RNA". It matches the Rfam family "Bacterial small subunit ribosomal RNA", at positions 524 to 776 of the family's 1533-position model. The record is from RNAcentral.